CUCUGGUCCCUACAGUGGAAGGCCCUAAGUCUGGAAUUGCUGGUGGCCACUGUGCCAUGCUGGGGAGAGGGCCUGCCUGGAGAAUAAAUGGAGGAGAGCCAGGCAGAGCCAAAUGGCAAGGGAGAGAGAACCUGAUAACCUUCCCUGGGUCCCUGGAUCCAGCUGUCACUAACACUGGUGCCAUUCUUGAACUUUCCUGUUUUUUUUUGCUUUAGUCCAUUGGAACUGGGGUUUCUGUACUUUGUAGUGGGAACCCUAUUAACAUAGAAGAAGCACGUUUGGAAGUGACCAUGAGCCUGCUGAAUGGCUGCUGCCACCGAAGGAUCUCAAAGCAGCUACUGCCUGGCCUGCAAGUGCUGGAUGGAGAGGGGUCCCGCAUGAGCUGAAUUCACCCCAGGCUGUACUGGCUUCCCAACAAGCCCUUACCCGAGUUCCCCUCGUGCCACUGUCCCGGUAUUCAGCUGUGCUCUGGCGUCCUUUGCGGCUACAGUUCCAGGGGGAAGGGAGGAUUCACAGCGUGGAGCCCGCCUCUGACUCUGCAGCAUGGAGCAGCCUGCCUGGCACACAGGGACUGAAGAGGAAAUGGGCCUCAGCUGCAGCAGGAAAGGGUCUUGCAUUAAAAAAGAGAGGGAGACGCUACUGCUCCCAAGACAGCUGUUGGAUCGGGCCCAAAAUGCAAAGAUAAAUCUUUGUGGUCAUAUAGUGUGGGCUCCACAAAAGGGGGUCAGGAGCCCCAGAGAUGGUUGACAUUGGAGCUUAUGGGGGCAGGCGAGCCCUGUGCCUUAUCCUCCAGUGCAAGGAAAUCAGGGCUGUCUGCUCCCUCCCCUUCCCCAGCUGCCUCCACCACCAGGCUAGCGAUGGGGUCCUGCAUGCAAAGGGGGAUUCCUGGAUAUGCUUGUUUGGGCAGACUUUUGGCCGAUUGAUCCCUUUUUUGGUUAUCGAGGGCUUGCGUGUGCCUCCGGGGAGCUGCAGAGGCCACAGUUGGGCUGGAUGACAGGAGAAGAAAUGGCUUCUGGCCUGUGGAGGGCUCACCUGGGCCUAAGGGGGCUGGAUUCUUCUGUACUCACGCUGCAGGGGUGCACACAUCCUGGAGGCCAGCAUGGAGCCAAGUGCCGCACACGGUCCUCAUGGCUUACUCAGCGGCUCGCUGAGCCGCACAAGAACGCUGACGCAGGUCGCUCUCCUGAUGUUCGACAGAGGCGCAGAGCAAUCCCAUGGAGCAAUCGAUACCCAUGGGCGAAAAGAUGAAUUUCAACCUGAACCUCGCAUCUUAUACAAAAUUGAUCUCAGAACGGAUCAUGAACUUAACCGUAAAACAAGAAAGCCAUAAAACUCUUAGAAGAAAAAAGGAGAAAAUCUUUGGGACCUAGGUGAAGAAUUCUUGGACUUGGAAUCAAAAGCACAAUCCAUAAAAGGAAAAAGUGACAAAUCAGAUUUCAUCAAAAUUGAAAGCUUUCGCUCUGUGAGAGACCCUGUGAAGAGCAUGAAAAGACAAGUGGCACAGAGCGAGAAAACAUUCGUGGAUGGCUUCUCCGACAAAGGGCCAUGUCUGGACAAACAAGAGCUCUCGGUGCAGAGUUUCGGCAGAAGGAUCUGGAGGGCCAUUCUGCCGGGCUCUGUGCUGUCCGGUAGAACUUUCUGCAGUGAAGCACCUCUUUUUGCUGCCCUGGGGCCUCUGCCUGAGACCCAAGGCAAGCCACCAGAGUCCCCCCACCCCCCACCCCAGGGACUUCUGAACUGGAGCUGAGAGAGAGAUCCUCUGUCCUCCUCAGUGACCCUAGUCUGGUGCGAGCCAGGCUGGGGACCCUGGCUGCAGCUGCAUGUAGCAGAGAGCCCGGCUGGGGAUCGGGGGAGGCCAGUGCCACCUGUCCACGCGUUGAUGUACCCUGCCGGCAGUGUGUGUAGUAGGGGUGAACAAAGGCUGGGCUGAGGAUGGGGUUGGGGACAUUGGUGGGUGUUGAGGAGGAACUCGGCUUGGCUUUGUCUCUGACGUUGGCUUUGUCCCUGCUCUGCAGGGAUGAGGAGCCAGGCUCUCUGCCAGUCGCACCUGACCUGUACUUAGUGCCAGACCCUGGACACCGCCUCGGGCUUCCUCAUGGCCAGGUUUAUGCUUUUUCCCAGCACCAUGAUGCUUGCUUUAAGAAAAUGUUUUCAGGAAAAAUGUACUGUUUAUAUGUGUGGUGUGAAAACCGCCUGUUUCUUGCCCUCUGGGAUUCAUGAAGGUACGUUAUCUGCUGGUGAUCAGAGCUCAGAUGGCCACUGUCAUUUCCCAUCAUGACACCGUCCGCAGCACAAACUCACUGUGGCCCUGGCUGGGGAAGCCCCGCCUCCCUGAGCCUGCCUCUGCCCACUGGGACAGUGUCGGGCCCUGUCCUUCUGUGCCCAUGAGCCUUGAGGCGUCUCCUCUCACUUAGUCACGGCCAGGCUUUCAAGCACUCCACAGCCCAGCUGCCCUCUCCAACCUCACCUUCCAGAACUUUCCAGCAUCAGUACUCUGGUUAGAAUUUCCUCUAAUAUCUCAGCGUCCCCUCACGCUUCCUCUGUCCCUCCUGCGGCAGUGUGCCCAGCUCCUCACUCACAGCCCCGGCUUUCACUUAGUUACAGGAGCCCUCACUAGGCCAACCUCCCCAAGGCUGGGGUCUCAACUCUCUCUCCUGUCUUCUGCGACAUACCCAUAGAAGGUUCUGGACACAUGCUCGGUGAACAGAUGAUCCCAUGGAGCGCUGUGCACAUGACACUGUGCAGUCAUUUUUGGCCUGAGAAGAAUCGACUCGACCAGCUGCAGAAAGAAGACAGGACGGUGCGCUCCACCAGCUGGAGAGCCCCGGGAGGUGUCUGGUUCUCUAAGGAAGCGACACACGAGCAGCGCUUGGCGUCUUUUGUGGAAAAAGCAGCAGUGGCAGAGAAAUGGACGAAAACGAUCUGUUCGGCCUUGCCAACAAACUGCAAGCCCCUGGGACUCCGUUUCCUUCUGAGCCCUUCUGUGACACAUGCCCCUGAACCCAAGUCCUGAGUCCCCGAGUCCCUGCUCCCAGAGGAGUGUUUCAGCAUGGCUCCUGCUGGACAGGAAAUGCUUGGGUUUCCUGAAAAUGCUUUUGAAAAUCCUUGACAAAAGUGCUAACUUAGAGAUCUUGAUGAGAACAUUGGGAAGCUUGGGUGGAUUGUCAAGUGAGAGAGAGAGAGAGAGAGACAGAGAGACAGAGAGAGAGAGAGAGAGAGGGCAGGAGGGCCAGAGCUCCACAGCCCUGAGAGGGGGCAAGGCCGGGCCCCACCCGCCGUCUCCCUGAGAUUAGAGGGUCCCACAGAUCAGACCUGCCCUCAUCCUGUGGUGGUGGGAAGAGAAAUAACAAGGAACAGUUGAAUAAAUAAAACUUCCCAAUCAAAAAAUGG
Cynocephalus volans (Philippine flying lemur) is the source of this 3390-nucleotide long non-coding RNA. RefSeq lists it as uncharacterized. The transcript is spliced from 3 exons. NCBI's taxonomy places the organism in Eukaryota, Metazoa, Chordata, Mammalia, Dermoptera, Cynocephalidae. The record is from RefSeq and is a predicted model, not a curated record.